This is an RNA transcript of Zea mays, 3669 nucleotides long. RefSeq lists it as uncharacterized. The transcript has 8 exons. Lineage: Eukaryota; Viridiplantae; Streptophyta; Magnoliopsida; Poales; Poaceae. The record is from RefSeq and is a predicted model, not a curated record.
CGCGCCCGCCCCCCUCCGCGCCCGCCGCGAACGCCACCACCCACUCCCGAGCGUCACCCCUCCUUAACCCUAGCUGCCACAACAUCACGAAAGGACCGGAUCUUGGUGAGCUCGAGGGUACAUGACGCGGUUCUUCCUAUCGCGGCAGGUGACCAGGACCUCUAUCCCCUCCUUGAUGGAGGUCGGGGACUGGGAUGGAGGCCAGGGACUCGACGGCGGUGGGCCUGGAGGUGGCGGCAAAGGCCUCGGCGUCGACGGCCGCGGCGGUGCGCAUUUCUCGGCUCGUUCAUUCUUGUGCCCUCCUUCGAUUACUUCAUUUCGUCGCGUCCCAAAUCGGUCGAUGGAAAAUGGAAUCUCGAUGGCUUUUGUUAAAUCUGGAUUGCUAUGCAUGUCUAGCGAUGCACUUGGAUUUUUGGUACAGUGAGAUUGGUAGCCGCACAUGGGGAAUCUCGAUGGCUUUUGUUAAAUCUGGAUUGCUAUGCAUGUCUAGCGAUACACUUGGAUUUCUGGUACCGUGAGAUUGGUAGUUGCAGAUGGAUACAGGGGGCCUUAGUGAAGUGGCAGCAGAAGACCUGAAUAUGGGGGUGGACACAUCUUCUCAUCUGGACGUUGAAGCAAUGUCUUCAGUUCCUUGGUGGUGGUCGGUUAAUGCUUCUUUGUAACAGGUGCAAUGUCUUUUCUGUUUUUGAACCCUGUGUCUGUCUUCUGUAAGCUGCCACGGUUGGCUGGUGUGUUUUUCUGCUUUUUCAUUAGCUAUUGUUGUUAAAACUUUGCCCUGGCUCCGGUUGGUGCUAGGUGUUCUGGCAUUUAAACUUGAGCUGUAAUGGAUAUCUGGUCUAUUACUAUCAGCAAAAGGCCGGGGCUAUUUUGGCCCUUGAACUCUACAAAAAUCCCCAAUGUCACGGACAACAUCUCAAUUAAUGUUUAUAGUUGUGGUCACAACAACGAUAGCUGAAAGUGGGUAAAUGUUUUCAUACUUUUAGUGGCCUCGUAACCAAGAUUUUAACCAUCUACUUAUGGAAUAUGUCCCCAUCUUACCGAAACUUUGCCUACAGUUUCAUCCUUCUCCAUCCUCGUUCUCCCCGUUCUCCCACCUCCCCGACGCCCGCCCACUUGUUAUCCAGGUGUUUCGCUUUAGUGAUUGUGAUUUCCUUAUUGACUUUGCCGAUUCUAGCAUAUAAUUGUCUAACUACAGUGAUUCACUGUUUCCAUACUCUUGCAGCACGCCAGCACCAGACGUGGAAAACUCCGUCAUGCAACUAUUGUCAAUUGCAAAUUGUUGGUGGAUGGCCUCAAAUCGGCAUGUCCUUGUAUUGUCUGUGAGGCUUUGAGUGUUGCUGCUCUUGAAAAUGGGGGUGUCACCUUCUAAGCUUGAAGAUGACAAGGUCCUUGUGUUAUGUCAGGAGAGGGAGUGUUUUGUUAGAGAAGCGCUAGACAGAAAUCGUGUGAAUUUUUUUUCAUACUAUUGGUUUCAUUCCAUUGUGAUUACUUUUUUUACUUUAGCUUCUUAAUCUUCACUGGACAUUCUUCAUGUGGAUGUAGAAUUGAAGAAAUCCCAAUUAUUCUUGAGGAAGAUAAAAUCCAGUUCCGUCAUCUACUGUGUGGAGAUUGGAGAAAUAGCACAUGGAUCAAAGCCAUCAAGUUUUUUGGCAGCAUUGUUUGCUUACUUCAUGGAGGAUGCCACUGUUCCUAAAUAUCAGUGUCCUCAAAACUUUCACCAUCUAGAAAUCUUCUUGGGACUAAUGCUGGCAGCCAUAUCUCAACACUUGAUAGAUUGUAUUUCUGGGAGAGCAAGCUUUAUGAUGAAGCCAAGGCCAGCAGUGCCAUCUGCAGGAAGUACGGUGGGAAAUGUAAGAAGCUAAGACUUCAUGAAUCAAGAGGGGUGAAUCAAAUUGAUAACGAUUUUACCCGUGCGGCAAGGGAAAGAUGUCAGUAUCACUGCAUCCUCCAAGAUGAUCGGAUAUGCUCUUCAGUGUUAUAUGCUCGUCAUGUGCAGGACCCAUCAAUAAGAGAGAUGGCUGAGCAAAUUGCAAGUGACCCUGUGUUCAACCAGAUGGUUGAACAGCUUCAGAAAAGUGCUCAGAGCAUCUUGGGAAUGCCCUUAUGAUCCUGCUAUGUCCAGAAUGCUUGAGAACUUGACCAUUCUGGCUCAUAAGGAGUAGCUUGAGGAGAGGAUGGCCCGUAUCAAGGAUGAUCCAUCCUUGAAGCCAAUUCUUGAUGAGAUAGAUAAUGGGCGUCCAUCUGCAAUGAGCUUUCCAAAACAUUUCUCCCGAAGCUAGAUACAGUCUACUAUAUCCACAAUUUCAAGGGAGCUAAAGGGGAACGCCUUUUCAGGUGCUACCCUGAGCCUUGGAAGGUCAUGAGAAAGGCAUCGUCCUACAGCUACAUCUGCCUGCAUCAACAAGAGGAGAUGCCUUCGUUGAAGGAAGUGUCCCUCGACAUCCUUCCUUCUGUUUAGCUAGGACCUCUCGAGAGUUGUUGUGUCAAUAAGAGAGUUUACGCGACUAGAUCUUCAUUUCUCACUUCUUUGGUUUAUACCUAUGCUGACCGGUGACUGCUAAGUUGCAUAUUGCCGCUAUCAGAAGUUUUCCAUGGAGCACUGUGAUCUAUGUAGGGGGUUGCCAGAUUGAAACCAUAACGUUCUUUUGUCUCCCCUCACAUGCCACUGUGCCACCAUAGCCUUCUCCAUCAGAAUCGUCUUCUCUGGUAUCCAUGCAUUUCUGGGCAUUUCUGGAACGACUCUCUCUCUUUUUAAUCGGAAAGCUCGUUUCCAUUAGGCACCAUCUCCAGCCAAAUCAGUGGAGACCACCUUGAUACAAAGGUGGAGACUUGGCUCAUGAACACAGUCAAACCAGAGCUAACCCCGCCCCAUACAUUACAAGGCAAUUAAUCCAUAAUUUUGUUGCAAUUUCUCGUCCUGUGCAUUUGUUGUCUGUACAAAUAUUCUUUUGGAUACGCCUUUACUGAUUGAGUGUGCGGUGCUCUUCCUUUCUCAAUGUCUUCUGUGAGCAGUAUGAGACCUGCCUUUUAAUUUCUAUGGCAAAGUACGUGCACAUACAUAUAUAUUUUAUAAAGUAUGUAAACCUCUAACAUUUAAAAGAUGCUAACAAGAGCAUAGAACGACAGUUAGUCCUUCUAUAUCUCAAUAUAUCUUAAUAUAACAUGUUGACUCCGUAACAACGCACGAGUACAUACCUAGUAGAUAUAGAUAUAGAUAUAAACAUAGAUAUAGAUAAAUUUGACCAGUCAUCUUAUUUGAAAAAAUGUCCGUAAUGCUAAUCUUCUGGUUUGGACAGCGGAGGAUGCUAAUCUUCUUGUCCAAUGUGCAGAGAUCUCUUCAGCCUGGGGCAGUGAGACGCGUCAAGCUCGACAGAUGAUGGGAAAUUCUGCACAUACAGUAUAUAUUAAGCUCCUCGUGCAGUACAGGUUGAGACUUGAGAGCCCCAGCGAUAGAGGUGUUGUCGUGCAAGGCCCAAAAACCAAUCGACGAGCGGGAAGAGAUGAUAAUAAACAUACUUAUGCCAGACUUGAAGAGGGAAGAGAUGAACACAGGCACUGUGUUUUUGUUUUCUUCUAUGACAACUGAUUGUUGACAACUGUAGAUAUCCUCUCAUCGGACGGGCAGGCUGUAGCAACAACACUUUGUUUAAUCACCAUAUAUUUUGAUCC